CAAAAAAAAACUCAAAAACAAAACAAACGAAAAACAGAACCCUGUCCAUAGCAUAUUUUACGCCUGGUGCGAAUAAGUUCUCAGUACAUAGUAGUUUUAUUCCUCUCCAUGUGUGAGUAAAGACUAUCGCCCAGAGGUCCCCGAUGUUAUCAGGGACCCAGUGCAGAAGGAACAAAUCGUGGGGAUUUGAACCGAGACGACAGCUCAUCAGGUGCAAUAUUUCUGCCGCUUGGCUCUUCGGAGAUCCUCCGUGUCCCCGGUGCCUCGGCUUCUUGGGUUCUCGGUGGGGCUGGAAAAUAAAGCCUGCCCCACCUCGCCUUGUUCUACUGCGUGGCAGUAUCACUGGAUGAUCCGCUGGGCUUCUGUUCGUCUCCCCGUCUUUCAAAACAGCAGCCACAGGACGAGUCACACGCUUGUCACUCAGCACCACAAAUACUUAAUGGAUCCUGGCUCCCUCGAGGCUUCAUGUUUCACAACCGGGAGGCUCUGUAGUGGGUCUGCUCCUUCCUGCUUCGAGAAGAACGGGCAGCGGGGUCAUCGUGAAGGUUUAUUCUCCCGUCUCCUCCUGCUCAUCUGGAAGGGCUUCGGGACACACAGGACUUAUUUAUAUUCUGACUCUGAAAGACCCUUGCUCCGUGAAUGCCUGCUGGGAAACAUCCAGGCCAGGCCCACCUGUGAGUGAUGGCAGGUGGAAGAAAUGAACACAUCCCCUCCCCUCCGGACCCCGCCGGCCCGGAACCAGGGGGUGUUGGACUUUGCUCCCUCCCCUCUUAAUAUAAAAGACGCCUGACCUCUAAUGCAGGACAGAAGUGCGUGGAGCAAAAGGGUGAGCCCAGAGACUCUUGAGUCAGACAGCCCUGCAUUUAAAUCCUGGAUCUGCAUCUGUGGUCAAUGAAAUCUUUGCCUCUGAUCCUUUACUCACCCCCAGUGUCAGGACUAGAAGUUGCUGCCCUUGAGCGUGACUUUGUGGCUCCUCCCACCCCAGCGGGCAGAGGAUGCGGGAUGCGGGAGCCUGGUCCAGCCAAGGGCUUCAGAGAUGCCAUGUCUUUCUGCCCACACGUCCUCCGUCUGGGAGAAGAGUUCCCCCAGAAAGAGGCUCUGCAGCCUGGAGACCCUCCCAGCCAGUCCAGGAAACUGUGAGGGAGAAAAAUGAACCUUGGCAGGGUGGGCUCACUUUUCUGGAAAGGACCAGAUAAUGAAUAUUUUGGGCCAGCUGUCACUGAUGCAGCUUCUCAACCCUGCUGUUGUGGUUCAAAAACAGCCCGAGACACCUCGUAAGCAAAUGAGGGAGGCCGUGCCUGUUAACACUUUGCCACUGAAAUUUGAAUGUCACAUAAUUCUCUCAUGUCACAACAUAUUCCUCUUUGGAGGUUUGUUCUUUUCUUUUUUGUUUUUGUUUUUUU
Long non-coding RNA from Phacochoerus africanus (Common warthog), 1403 nucleotides. RefSeq lists it as uncharacterized. The record is from RefSeq and is a predicted model, not a curated record. Lineage: Eukaryota; Metazoa; Chordata; Mammalia; Artiodactyla; Suidae. The transcript has 4 exons.